CUUCUGAAAAGAUGAUUCUCCAAGCUUCCCCUCUGCAUGAACUCAUACACAAGGAGUAGCUCUUUAUCCUCCAAACAAUAUCCCAAUAAUUUAACCAGGUUGGGAUGUGACAACCUCCCUAGAAAGUUCACCUCUGACUGCCACUCUUGAAGCCCUUGCAUACUUUCUGGGUUUAAUUUCUUGAUUGCAACGACCAUCCCAAUGCCAGUUUUGGAGGGUGCCAAAGUCUUUUCAUCUAUCCAUCCUUUGAAGACUUUACCAAAACCACCUUCACCCAACAAAGUGUCUGGUUUGAAAUUCUUUGUAGCACUCUUCAAAUCAGCAAAGGUAAACUCCUUCAAGUUUGCCGCUUCCAAAAUUUGACCGUUUGGAUUUGCCUCAUCAUUCCCUUCGCUUACUGCAGCAGAGAAUUGACUUUUACCUGCACUGCUGCUUGUAGCUGAGAAAUCCAUGGUGGUGUUGUUAUUUGAUGACCCUGGGGUGGGAGGAUUGGUAGUGGUGAAAGAGGCGCUAGGAAUAGAAUCCUGAGAGGGAGAUCCAAAGCAAUUGCCCAUGUUGACUUCUUUAAGUGUCUCUUCUCUUAGAU
Molecule: unclassified non-coding RNA, 586 nt
Filed under: Hevea brasiliensis (rubber tree)
Lineage: Eukaryota; Viridiplantae; Streptophyta; Magnoliopsida; Malpighiales; Euphorbiaceae
Source: RNAcentral